GCGGAGGAAAAGAAAGCAACAGCGAUAGCCUCAGUAACGGCGAGUGAAGCGGCUACAGCUCAAAUUUGAAAUCUGGCCUCCUUUGGGGGUCCGAGUUGUAAUUUGCAGAGGAUGCUUUGGCAUUGGCGGCGGUCUAAGUUCCUUGGAACAGGACAUCGCAGAGGGUGAGAAUCCCGUACGUGGGCGCCUGCCUUUGCCGUGUAAAGCUCCUUCGACGAGUCGAGUUGUUUGGGAAUGCAGCUCUAAAUGGGAGGUAAAUUUCUCCUAAAGCUAAAUACCGGCCAGAGACCGAUAGCGCACAAGUAGAGUGAUCGAAAGAUGAAAAGUACUUUGGAAAGAGAGUCAAAUAGCACGUGAAAUUGUUGAAAGGGAAGCGCUUGCAGCCAGACUUGCCCGCAGUUGCUCACCUAGGCUUUCGCCUGGGGCACUCUUCUGCGGGCAGGCCAGCAUCAGUUUGGGCGGUCGGAUAAAGGCCUCUGUCAUGUACCACCCCUCGGGGUGGCCUUAUAGGGGAGGCGUAAUGCGACCAGCCCGGACUGAGGUCCGCGC
Molecule: ribosomal RNA, 549 nt
Filed under: Pseudopithomyces chartarum
Lineage: Eukaryota; Fungi; Ascomycota; Dothideomycetes; Pleosporales; Didymosphaeriaceae
Description: partial 28S ribosomal RNA
Rfam family: Eukaryotic large subunit ribosomal RNA
Source: RNAcentral